GCCUCGGAGCUCAUGGAGGAGAAAGAGAAAGUAGAGAAGGAGAGAAGAGGGCUUUUCAUAAGUUUCUAUGAUUUACAGUUUAGAUUAGGGUUAAGAUGGGCGGACCAUUAAUUAGACGUUAUGUGUGGAAGAAGGCGAAGUGUUGAGUUAAGGUAGGUGGACCAUUAAUUAGACGUUAUGGGUGCAUGGAGGGAAGGCGAAGUGUUGAGUUAAGGUGGGUGGACCAUUAAUUAGACGUUAUGGGUGGAGGGAAUGCGAAGGGUUGGUUUCGCAAUAUGAAGUCCAAAACAAAAGAAAACACGCCACGUGGCUUUUCUUUUGGGGACAUGUGACUUUGAAAUAAAAUCCCCUUCAUUAUAGGUGACUUUGAAAUAGAGCUCUCAACAAUUAUGUAUUUAUUUUUAAUUGAUAUCUUUCUGACUUUAAUUUUUUAUUAAUUAAUUAAUUUAGUUUUAUUUGAUACAGAGUAGUUAAUUAAUUUAUUUUUUAAAAUUUAGUAUCUACUGUUUAGGAUUUAAAAAUUUUGGUUAAAUUUUUAGUUUAUUCGACAAAAUUAAUAGCUAUAUGCGUGUUAAUAAAAAAAAAAAUUAAGAGAAAUUGUCUAAAAAUGAGGGGAGUUCGUAUAUUUUUAUCUAAAGAAAUUAUAUAAUUUUUUAUCAAUUAAAUAGAUCUCUAAUGUGGAAGAUUUGCAUGAAAACUUAAAUAAUAUGUAGAAAAAGAAUAUUCUAAUGAGAUUUUAUUAAUUAAUAAUAUUUUGCUUACUGUUUGAAUGAUAUGAUUAGGGGCCUGAUUCAUAAAUCGCCUAAAAUUGAGGGCCUUCAAACAUUUUUUUAUCAUAAUAUGAUUUGUAUUCAUUAAAGGGGUCUCAAGUAUAAAAUUUUUUUAAUGCAAAAUAAAAUAGUAUGAAUGGCAUGGCCUAAAUCAUUU
Molecule: long non-coding RNA, 927 nt
Filed under: Ananas comosus (pineapple)
Lineage: Eukaryota; Viridiplantae; Streptophyta; Magnoliopsida; Poales; Bromeliaceae
Description: long non-coding RNA (ACOM_LNC022533)
Source: RNAcentral